CUGAGACAUUAAUGGUGAUCCAAGGGAAGGCAGCAUGAAUUUGCUUUGGGGUCAGUCCUGUCCCAGCUGAGCUGACUGCAGCCUCUGGGGCUUUGGGGUCAGUCUUGUCCCAGCUGAGCUGACUGCAGCCUCUGGGGCUUUGGGGUCAGUCCUGUCCCAGCUGCCUGUGCUGUCCCACUGUGCACCUGCAUCUUGGUGUUGGAAACUGCACUGCCUGAGAGACCUCUUGCUGUUAAAAAGCAGUUCACUUGCACCUUUAAUGAUGAGUUUCUUGGUGUCUGAUCCAUCAACAAAACAUUUCACUGACUGACUGUUUAUCCUUGCAUGGUUCUACAAAGGGCUUGCCUGUAGCAACACCAGCAACAAAAAACCCUUCCAUGGAGUCUAGUCUUUGGAUCUAGCAGAAAUAUUCAAGGAUUUCAGCAAAAGGCAGAGCACAGGCACAGCUGCUACAGCAGCACAGAAGUGAAUAACAACCCAGAGGAGAAGCCUGCUGUUUGCACACAGGGCUGGGAGCCCUUCACAACUGGGAACUGCACAGCACGGGUUUAGGCAAUGGAAGAGAGGAAAUAAAGCCAAUGGAGAAUUAAGGAUGUCUCAUCCUUUGAAGAUCUGAAGAAAAUGUUAAAGAUCUCUAACAGCAAAAACACUGAUCUUCAGAAGCAGCUUGAGGUAGGAAUAAAAGUCCUACCAGAAGGGCUCAGCACUCUCCAGAGAAGGCAAUAAACUUUCCUGGGGUGUGGAAAUCUGCAUUCUUUCAACUGCCUCAGAAAUGCUUUAUGAAGACACCACCUCAGUUUGGUCCUUUGGGAUUGUCUGGAGCCUCUUUGCUUUUAUCAGCCAGUUACUGUCACUAGGAGAGCAACUUUACCCUUGAACACUUUUGCAAACAAAGUGUGCUGAAGUGUGGCUGUACCACAGCUGCAGCACGGCUUGGGGUGUGCAGCCACUGCAGAUGAAGAUGUGACCAUGGUGUGGAGAUGCCUGCUCAGUGUUUGGUUGUGGCCUUUGUAUCUGGCUCAGGGAUUAAGUUCUGUCUUGAGUUUGCUUUAAAUGAAAGGAACCUUGGCAUCACUUCAGCAUCACUGUUAGCCACAAGGAGAUGGAGGAUGUACAGAUGAGGACCACAAAUCUGCACCAUAAAAGGGAACUAAAGAAGCUUUUAGCUGAAGAGGGGAAAACAUCCACAGGUGAAAAGUGAAACUUCUUACUAUUUGGUGGCCUCCAAAGCAAGCAUCUGUAGGCAGAAGAUAUAUUGCCACGGUACUAUUUAAUAAGUAAAAUGAAACAUGAGUCUUUUGAUUUAAGGGGCUUUAGAAGAGUUCAUAACUCUGGGGAGGUCAUCAUCCCUGAGCUCUUGAUCCAUUGCUCUGUUUCCUGUGGGAAC
Molecule: long non-coding RNA, 1387 nt
Filed under: Cyanistes caeruleus (blue tit)
Lineage: Eukaryota; Metazoa; Chordata; Aves; Passeriformes; Paridae
Description: lncRNA (ENSCCEG00000021059.1)
Source: RNAcentral